This 750-nucleotide ribosomal RNA is filed under the name Microbacterium oleivorans. RNAcentral's name for it is "bacterial SSU rRNA". It matches the Rfam family "Bacterial small subunit ribosomal RNA", at positions 89 to 850 of the family's 1533-position model. The record is from RNAcentral. Lineage: Bacteria; Bacillati; Actinomycetota; Actinomycetes; Micrococcales; Microbacteriaceae.
GGAUCAGUGGCGAACGGGUGAGUAACACGUGAGCAACCUGCCCCUGACUCUGGGAUAAGCGCUGGAAACGGCGUCUAAUACUGGAUAUGAGCUGCGACCGCAUGGUCAGCAGUUGGAAAGAUUUUUCGGUCUGGGAUGGGCUCACGGCCUAUCAGCUUGUUGGUGAGGUAAUGGCUCACCAAGGCGUCGACGGGUAGCCGGCCUGAGAGGGUGACCGGCCACACUGGGACUGAGACACGGCCCAGACUCCUACGGGAGGCAGCAGUGGGGAAUAUUGCACAAUGGGCGAAAGCCUGAUGCAGCAACGCCGCGUGAGGGAUGACGGCCUUCGGGUUGUAAACCUCUUUUAGCAGGGAAGAAGCGAAAGUGACGGUACCUGCAGAAAAAGCGCCGGCUAACUACGUGCCAGCAGCCGCGGUAAUACGUAGGGCGCAAGCGUUAUCCGGAAUUAUUGGGCGUAAAGAGCUCGUAGGCGGUUUGUCGCGUCUGCUGUGAAAUCCCGAGGCUCAACCUCGGGUCUGCAGUGGGUACGGGCAGACUAGAGUGCGGUAGGGGAGAUUGGAAUUCCUGGUGUAGCGGUGGAAUGCGCAGAUAUCAGGAGGAACACCGAUGGCGAAGGCAGAUCUCUGGGCCGUUACUGACGCUGAGGAGCGAAAGGGUGGGGAGCAAACAGGCUUAGAUACCCUGGUAGUCCACCCCGUAAACGUUGGGAACUAGUUGUGGGGUCCAUUCCACGGAUUCCGUGACGCA